CUGUCAGGCUAGAGUGCAGGAGAGGAAGGUAGAAUUCCCGGUGUAGCGGUGAAAUGCGUAGAGAUCGGGAGGAAUACCAGUGGCGAAGGCGGCCUUCUGGACUGACACUGACACUGAGGUGCGAAAGCGUGGGUAGCAAACAGGAUUAGAUACCCUGGUAGUCCACGCCGUAAACGAUGUCGACCAGCCGUUGGGUGCCUAGCGCACUUUGUGGCGAAGUUAACGCGAUAAGUCGACCGCCUGGGGAGUACGGCCGCAAGGUUAAAACUCAAAUGAAUUGACGGGGGCCCGCACAAGCGGUGGAGCAUGUGGUUUAAUUCGAUGCAACGCGAAGAACCUUACCUACUCUUGACAUCCUGCGAAUUCGGUAGAGAUACCUUAGUGCCUUCGGGAGCGCAGAGACAGGUGCUGCAUGGCUGUCGUCAGCUCGUGUUGUGAAAUGUUGGGUUAAGUCCCGUAACGAGCGCAACCCUCGUCCUUAUUUGCCAGCACGUAAUGGUGGGAACUCUAAGGAGACUGCCGGUGACAAACCGGAGGAAGGUGGGGACGACGUCAAGUCAUCAUGGCCCUUACGAGUAGGGCUACACACGUGCUACAAUGGCCGGUACAAAGGGCUGCGAGCUCGCGAGAGUCAGCGAAUCCCUUAAAGCCGGUCUCAGUCCGGAUCGGAGUCUGCAACUCGACUCCGUGAAGUCGGAAUCGCUAGUAAUCGUGAAUCAGAAUGUCACGGUGAAUACGUUCCCGGGCCUUGUACACACCGCCCGU
Molecule: ribosomal RNA, 765 nt
Filed under: uncultured bacterium
Lineage: Bacteria
Description: bacterial SSU rRNA
Rfam family: Bacterial small subunit ribosomal RNA
Source: RNAcentral